AAUGGCCUAACGGCUGAACCAGCAAUUUGCCAGAAUGUAAGGAGUAAAUAUAGAAGGUCGUUUUUUUAUAUUUCUAUCUCUAAGUGGUACUCCAAUUAAGGUUCUAGGGAAAAUAAAUAAUGACCUUUUUUUACCUAAAUGUCUUGACCAACUCACGUGCCAGCAGUCGCGGUAAGACGUGGAAGACUAGUGUUAAUCGUCUUUAUUUGGUUUAAAGGGUACCUAGACGGUCUAUUCACUCACCUUUAGAGGAACUUUUUCUGGUAGAGAAAGGGACGUACGAGGGAGCAUGGAUUGAACUAGAGUUUUAUGUGUAAGGAUAUAUUGUAUUGAUGGAGUAGAGAUAAAAUUCAUUGAUACUGUCAAGAACAGAUAACGGCGAAGGCAAUCCUUUAUGUAAAAACUGACGUUGAGGGACGAAGGCGUGGGUAGCGAUCAGGAUUAGAUACCCUGGUAGUCCUCGCAGAUAAUUAUGAGUGCCAUAGGUAUGACAUUGUUACAAUCUAUAAAUGAAAGUGCAAGCACUCCACCUCAAGAGUAAUGUGGCAACGCUGGAACUGAAAUCAUUAGACCGUCUCUGAAAUAAGUAGUGAAGCAUGUUGUUUAAUUUGAUAAUCCGCAAAAAACCUUACCAAUUCCGGGCUUGAAUAAUUUAGUGUUAACACUUUAUACAGGUGCUGCAUGGCUGUCUUCAGUUGAUGUUGUGAGACACAGGUUAACUCCGUAAAAUUAACGAAAACCCUUGCUUUAUUUGUUUUUAUAAAGUAGAACUCCAAUAUAAUGGAUAAGAUAAUAGGGAGCAAGACAAGUAAUCACGGCCCUAAAUGCCCU
This 831-nucleotide ribosomal RNA is filed under the name Chrysothrix caesia. RNAcentral's name for it is "mitochondrial SSU rRNA". It matches the Rfam family "Bacterial small subunit ribosomal RNA", at positions 370 to 1210 of the family's 1533-position model. Lineage: Eukaryota; Fungi; Ascomycota; Arthoniomycetes; Arthoniales; Chrysotrichaceae. The record is from RNAcentral.